AAGCCCAGCUUGCUGGGUGGAUUAGUGGCGAACGGGUGAGUAACACGUGAGUAACCUGCCCCUGACUCUGGGAUAAGCGUUGGAAACGACGUCUAAUACUGGAUAUGACUACUGGUCGCAUGGCCUGGUGGUGGAAAGAUUUUUUGGUUGGGGAUGGACUCGCGGCCUAUCAGCUUGUUGGUGAGGUAAUGGCUCACCAAGGCGACGACGGGUAGCCGGCCUGAGAGGGUGACCGGCCACACUGGGACUGAGACACGGCCCAGACUCCUACGGGAGGCAGCAGUGGGGAAUAUUGCACAAUGGGCGAAAGCCUGAUGCAGCAACGCCGCGUGAGGGAUGACGGCCUUCGGGUUGUAAACCUCUUUUAGUAGGGAAGAAGCGAAAGUGACGGUACCUGCAGAAAAAGCACCGGCUAACUACGUGCCAGCAGCCGCGGUAAUACGUAGGGUGCAAGCGUUGUCCGGAAUUAUUGGGCGUAAAGAGCUCGUAGGCGGUUUGUCGCGUCUGCUGUGAAAUCCCGAGGCUCAACCUCGGGCUUGCAGUGGGUACGGGCAGACUAGAGUGCGGUAGGGGAGAUUGGAAUUCCUGGUGUAGCGGUGGAAUGCGCAGAUAUCAGGAGGAACACCGAUGGCGAAGGCAGAUCUCUGGGCCGUAACUGACGCUGAGGAGCGAAAGCGUGGGGAGCGAACAGGAUUAGAUACCCUGGUAGUCCACGCCGUAAACGUUGGGCGCUAGAUGUAGGGACCUUU
RNAcentral lists this ribosomal RNA (749 nucleotides) under Curtobacterium sp. RNAcentral describes it as "bacterial SSU rRNA". It matches the Rfam family "Bacterial small subunit ribosomal RNA", at positions 71 to 833 of the family's 1533-position model. Lineage: Bacteria; Bacillati; Actinomycetota; Actinomycetes; Micrococcales; Microbacteriaceae. The record is from RNAcentral.